Molecule: ribosomal RNA, 449 nt
Filed under: uncultured bacterium
Lineage: Bacteria
Description: partial 16S ribosomal RNA
Rfam family: Bacterial small subunit ribosomal RNA
Source: RNAcentral
CUACGGGGUGCUCCAGUGGGGAAUAUUGCGCAAUGGGCGAAAGCCUGACGCAGCAACGCCGCGUGAGUGAUGAAGGCCUUCGGGUCGUAAAGCUCUGUCGGGAGGGAAGAACACCUUCGGGUCUGACGGUACCUCCCGAGGAAGCACAGGCUAACUCCGUGCCAGCAGCCGCGGUAAUACGGAGUGUGCAAGCGUUGUUCGGAAUUACUGGGCGUAAAGCGCGCGUAGGCGGCUUGAUAAGUCAGAUGUGAAAUCCCUCGGCUUAACCGAGGAACUGCAUUUGAAACUGUCAGGCUUGAGUACGGGAGGGGGAAGCGGAAUUCCCAGUGUAGAGGUGAAAUUCGUAGAUACUGGGAGGAACACCAGCGGCGAAGGCGGCUUCCUGGACCGAUACUGACGCUGAGGCGCGAAAGCGUGGGGAGCAAACAGGAUUAGAUACCCCAGUAGUC